RNAcentral lists this ribosomal RNA (253 nucleotides) under uncultured bacterium. Its description in RNAcentral is "partial 16S ribosomal RNA". It matches the Rfam family "Bacterial small subunit ribosomal RNA", at positions 524 to 776 of the family's 1533-position model. The record is from RNAcentral.
GACAGAGGGUGCAAACGUUGCUCGGAAUUACUGGGCGUAAAGCGCGUGUAGGCGGGAAGAUAAGUCGGGUGUGAAAUCCCUGGGCUCAACCUAGGAACUGCAUCCGAAACUGUCUUUCUGGAGUGAUGGAGAGGAAAGCGGAAUUCCCGGUGUAGAGGUGAAAUUCGUAGAUAUCGGGAGGAACACCAGUGGCGAAGGCGGCUUUCUGGCCAUCAACUGACGCUGAGACGCGAAAGCGUGGGGAGCAAACAGG